Molecule: long non-coding RNA, 5996 nt
Organism: Meriones unguiculatus (Mongolian gerbil)
Lineage: Eukaryota; Metazoa; Chordata; Mammalia; Rodentia; Muridae
Exons: 3
Source: RefSeq, a predicted model, not a curated record
GCGCCGCGCGGGGAGAGCGCGCGAGCUCGGGGGCGCGCGGCCCGGUGCGUGUGGCCGCGGGAACAGCGAGGCCACCUCCCGCGCGCGGCGCCCCCCGGUUGGUCGCUCGGAGCGGAUGCCUGUCUUCCAGGGAGGACGUCGCCCAGCCCGACCGAAACAAUAACGGAGCUCAGGAGAAGGGGCGCAGCACGCUGAGGUCAUUUCCCACAGCGUCUGUAGCAUCUAUUUAAACUGGAGAACAGAUGCUUAGACCAUUUUAAGAUCCUAGUCCCUGGAGGGACGUGGUGACUCACGUCUCUAAUUCCACCACGCUUGAGGCUGAGGCAGGAGGAUUCGGAGUUGGACACCAGGCUGGCCAGUGAGCCAGUGAGGCCUCAACACACACACACACACACACACACACACACACGCACACAGAGGCAGGGUGAAUAACAACCUCAGUCACUGACCCUUAGCUUCUAGUGUGCUCUCCGAUCCUGACCGUGCAGAUAACCACAGUGAGACUGACUGAACUCUUCUCUUGGCAUCCGAGUUUGAGGGAAGGUGUUUCUGUGAUGUUAGGCCCAGCAAGAGCCUAAAUAUAAGAAGCAGGACCCUUCCUUCUGUACUGAGGGACCUUCCUGGGUGUUUAUGAGUGAUGGUAUUGCUAUGGACAAGAAGCACAGAAGAAGGAAAUGCUGUGCGAGGAUGUGGGUGAAUUACAGAAAUGAAUAAACACCCCCCUCUCCUGGCAAUUGUGAGUAUUGCAACUGUUUUAUUGCUCUCUGCCCCAGCCUAGGUAUUUCAGAGUUCCAGCAUUGCAAGGUCAUGGUGGUGCUGGCCUGUAACACCAGCACUCGGGAGGCUGAGACAAGAGGAUCAGAAGUUCAAGACCACUCUUCACUACAAAGCUGGAGGCUCAGUAGGAAAAAGCACUUAGCACCAAGCCUGUUUUGUCAUGAAGCCAGCUCCACAGAGUGGAAGGAGAGAACUGAGCCCACAGGGUUUCUUCUAACCAUAAGAAAUCCUCCCUACAAGCACAUAUAACUAAACAAACAAACACCCUCCACCAGGCGGCCAGCACCCAGAGCAAUCUGGCUGAACUGAAUGGUACUCCAGUCACCUGGCGUAAACUUGACCCUGUUAUGAACAUCCCUCCCAUCUGGAUGCUGCAGUCCUCAGCUGUGCUAAGUGAGGGCUAAACUCAGUUUAUUGACUACAGUUGUGAACCUUCAACACAGCUUGUUCUCGCUUGUUGGGAUAAAGUGCUGAGGAGUGGGGACCUUUGGUGGGCCUGUGCCAAGGUAUGCCAGUAAGAGAUUAUGCCAUGCAACAGAUCUAGGGCAAGAGAUUUGCUGGGGGGAAGGGGUAGGGCAAAAGACUGUUUAAGAGUGGUGAUGAGACAGACAGACAGACAGAUAGAGACCAGAUAAAACAGAGACAGAGAGAGGGAGGGAGGGAAAGACAGAGACAGACAGUGUUCUUGUCUCAAUUUCCAGAGCACUUAGAUUAUAGGCCUGAGACACCAUGCCAAAUGUUUAACUGUUUUUGGUUGUUUGAAACGGGGUCUUCAUAGGUAGCCAGAGCUCCCUGGCUACUUUGGCCAUAAACUUGUUGCAAUCACCCUGUUUCCCAAGUAUCAGACCAUAGGCCUGAACAGCCACACCUGAGGCUUCCCUCUUAUUUAUUUUUUGUUUUAUUAAAAAUAAACAAAACAAGCGGGGCACAAUGGCACACGCCUAUAAUCCCAGCACUCAGGGAGGCAGAGGCAUUCGGAUCUCUGUGAGUUUGAGUCCAGCCUGGUCUACAAAAGGAGUCUAGGACAGCCAAGGCUACACAGAGAAACCCUGACUCAAAAACCAACCAACCAACCAACCAAACAAACAACAAAUGAAUGAAUGAAUGAAUAAAACAAAACCAGUCUUACUAGUUUCUCUCACUGGCCCAGAACUUACUAUAUAGAUCAAGCUGGCCUUGAACUUGCAAUGUUCCUCUUCGCCCACCUAACAUUUUUUUAAUGAACAUCCAACUUAGACAUAUUAUUUUGAGGACCUUUUGUAUUCUGUAUACAGAAUUUGUCCUUUUCCAGGAGUGAUGGGAGCUCUGUGGACUGAAUAUAAGAUCUCAAGCAUGUGAGGUAAAUAUUUUACCAAUGAACUAUAGCCUCAUGCCUUUUUUUAUUGCAAAAUUUUAAAUUUUAUUUUGUUUAUUGAAGUGGAAGUUUCUGGUUUCCUUGAAGACUCGAUUGUGUCAUGUGAUAUUUUGCUGGAGAUUAGCUGGUGAGAGGCACUUGAUGUUUUGCUACGAGCUCUCUCAUGUGAGGGGCGUGACUUUGGCCAGCUGAGAACAUCCGUGGUAGACUGUGAGGAGAGGAGAUACAUAGAGACCACACACAGUGAGACAGAGCUUUUUGGACUGACACCACUGCCCUAAUCUUUGUGCUUCGACACUUGACUUCCCAGAGAGAAAUGUUCUGGGCAAUCCAACUGAGCCUUGCGGCUUUCACUGACUUCAUGCUGUUGCUUGCUGUUGGCCUUUGUACUGGUUUAUAUCAGCUUUCAACAAGUCCAGAUUGCAGUGUGCCAUGCACAGGUGAUCCCUGGAUAGAGUCUGUCAGUCAAACCUGCUGAGACAAACAUAGACUAAGGACAGAGUGAACAUUUUCUAGUAAUUGGAAAAGGACUGGAAUUCCAGGACCAGGGAAAAUUUUUCAUUUUCAGGAACAGGUAGUUGUAUUUAUCUGGAAUCCAUUUGACUUGGAUCCAAGUCAUUUUCUGAAGUUUACAAGAAUCUUUUUAAGUUUAUUAAAAGAGACAAAUUGGCUUGGAAAACAAUUUUAAAAUUUGAUUAAUGUUAAAGUUUAAACAGACUUAAUACAACUUAAAUUAUUUUUAUAUCUUUAUAAAUUUGUAUUUAUAAUUUUAAAAACCAUCCUUUAGAUCUUCUAAAAUUUAUAACUUGUAUUUACCAACCUUAAACUGUCUCAGACCUUUAAAUAUUUUACAUUUUUCUGAGGAGGCAGUUGAAGCCUUGGUAUAUAAAUUGAAGAUCAAUUUACAACAGAGAACUGAGCAGGAUAAAUAUGAUCUGAAUAAACAGGAAAUACAGUGCAAGCAGCUUCCAAACUAUAGAAAUGACAGAGACUGCUGGCUGCCUGGACAGUCACCCAAGAUAUCUCUACAAUGUUGGAGCAUCAUCUUUAGCCUUAUGGCUCAUAAUAUUUGACAGACUUCGGUGAAGCAGGUAAUACACAGGACUUGCCUACCUUGUCCUUGCAAAGCUCAGCAGUCUUUCCUGUUUUCAGUUUGUCCAGUAUUCUGUCUGCAAUAAAAGCAAUGGCAUUUUCUUUUGCCAUCUAUGAAUUUGCCAUCUAUGAAGCCAUCUCCUAAAGGAGAAUUAUUAUUUUUGAUGCUCAUCAUCUUCUUUGAAGUUGAAAGGGGGUACUGCUAGGAGCUGGUAUUUCUCAUUUUUUUCAGCUGUAAUUUCGAGGGAGGAGCAUCUUGUUAUCUGUUGAAUCCAAUGGAUCCAGGCAGGAAGCACUGAGACGGUUGUGUCAACCACAAGAAUGAGACAAUCACAACAGUUAAGACACAGAACUAGACUCUCUGACAUGAACUCAAUGGCUGGCUCUUUGACCUCCCCACCCCCGAGGGAGGAGCAGCCUUGCUAGGCCACAGAGGAGGACAUUGCAGCCAGUCCUGAAGAUACAUGAUAAGCUAAGAUCAGAUGGAAGGGGAGGAGAUGAGGGAGGGAGGGAAUGAGAGAGGAGGCUACAGCUGGGAUACAAAGUAAAUAAACUGUAAUUAAUAUAAAAAAAUAAAAAUCUAAAAGACACAGAACUAACAUGACAUUCCCGGGAAAACCAAAAAGGAAAAGUGGCGUCCCCUGGACUCACUCUUGAUGCAGAGACCUGAUGUCAAAUCAGAUAAGAAUCUUCAGAUUGCCCCAGAGAAAUGGGGGUGGAGGAGGAUUUCCCUCCUCUCCCUGGGAGACAGAGAGCCCUGUGACACUGCAAGCCGGGCUUCUUCCAGUGUAUCCCCUCAAGGGCCAACCCAGAUAGCCAGGCUAAGAGCAAAUACAGAUCAAAAACUCUAGGGUGGCCUCUUGGCCAGACUGAGGGCCAGGAGACACCCCAGGCAGCUUGCUCUUAACAUGACAAUCUCAAGAAGCCUCGAUCACUCUGUUUAUACCUUUGGGGCAGGUGAGGAAGCAACAAACAUUUACAUAUAGAAAGCAGGUCUUGUGGGCUAUAGAAAUGACAAUGCCAUAUAUCCUGCCAGCAUCUGGUACUUCAGGCAGAGCAAUUAACAACCGGGAAUACAGGGGCAUUGACAGUUGAUACAGUGUCAAAAUGAGCCAAACACAUGCAAGAAUGCAUGCAUGCACGCACACACAAACACACACAAGCACGGGGAGGAAGACGUCUCACUCUGUAAGUCUAGCAGGCCUGAAAUUCGCUCUGUACACACACACACACACACACACACACACACACACACACACACACACACGGGGAGGAAGAUGUCUCUGUAGCUCCAGCAGGCCUGGAAUUCCUUCUGUAACCUAAGCUGGACUUGAAAGGACUCCAUGAAGAUCAUCAUGCAUGCUGUCGUGCUGCAGAAGGCGUGACUCUUCAGAAGGACAUUCAAACUGCUGUGUGCUUGACAUUUAACGAUAGCCCUCUACAGAGCUUUGAACUCACCAGCAUAGGAUAGACCGUGGAGUGCUUUCUCCAUAGUUGCCAAAUACAAAUGGGCUGGGCACUGUGACUAGAAUUCUUCUUGUGGUUGUGCGUAUAGUAUAUAGUUUACUGAUGCUAGAGAUAAAGCCGUUUCCCGGACCAAAACGGGAGAUGUUGGGAUAAGCUACCUCCACACACACUGUAUCAACUGUCAAAGCCCCUGUAUUCCCGGUUGUUAAUUGCUCUGCCUGAAGUACCAGAUGCUGGCAGGAUAUGUGGCAUUGUCAUUUCUAUAGCCCACAAGACCUGCUUUCUAUAUGUAAAUGUUUGUUGCUUCCUCACCUGCCCCAAAGAUAUAAACAGAGUGAUCAAGGCUUCUCUGAGAUUGUCUUGUUAAGAGCAAGCUGCCUCAGGUGUCUCCCAGCCCUCAGUCUGGCCAAGAGGCUGCCCUAGAGAGGGGCAGGGUAUAGUCCUGUUGCUGAUUGGUUCAGAGUGAGGAAGUCAUGGAAACUCUCACAAUGUGCUAGCAAGCCUUUUUAUACCUGAUGAAUGAAGGCAUGGGGGGCAGGGGCUGGAGAGAUGGUGCGGCAGUUAGGAACGAUGGCUCCUUUUCCGGAGGACCUGGGUUCAAGUCCCAGCACCCAUGUGACAAUUCACAACUCUCAGCAACUCCAGUUCCAGGGAAUCCAACAACCUCACACAGACAUACAUGCAGACAAAACCAACAACGCAUAUAAAACAAACAAAUAAAUCUUAGCGCAGGAAGGUAGAGUAGAGAGAGCCUCAUGGGUAGAGACACAAUGGCAGAGGAGUCCAGUCAGGAUGGCUAGUGGAGGAGACUGACUCCAGCAAAGAGGCUUAUACUGCACAGAUGGCCCUGUGUUUCUGUUGGUAAACCCAAGCACGGCCCCUAAAAGCACCCGAAGCAUCCUCAGCUAAAGGUUAACUUCUUUUUAACUUAUCCUUCCUCUCUAAUCUUGUGAUUCAUGCGUUGUAAGUUGUUUCCCUUGCAUCAUGGCAUGUUAUGGCAACCAUCUGAUCAUAAACCCGCAAGUACUUUUCCCAUGAUCAUAAAAAUAAUUGCAAAAUCCCACUUUUGUAAUCAUGUGCUUGCUUGAAAAAGGCCCUUCUGCUCUUAGUCUGUAUGGCUUCCUUCUACUCUGCAGGAGACUCUAAGUUUGGCCUGGCCAUGAAAAUAAAUAUUUUACCUCACAACAUCUCCUUGUUAGCUCCUAGUUUUCAACACCACAACACUGGGUAUUUCUUUUUUUAGGAAAAAUAAAUGCUUUUUUAUUAAAAAAAAAAAAAGAUUUACUUAUACAUGUGUGUAUUCUAU